AUUGAACGCUGGCGGCAUGCCUUACACAUGCAAGUCGAACGGCAGCACAGCAGUAGCAAUACUGUGGGUGGCGAGUGGCGGACGGGUGAGGAAUACAUCGGAAUCUGCCUAGUCGUGGGGGAUAACGUAGGGAAACUUACGCUAAUACCGCAUACGACCUACGGGUGAAAGCGGGGGAUCGCAAGACCUCGCGCGAUUAGAUGAGCCGAUGUCCGAUUAGCUAGUUGGCGGGGUAAUGGCCCACCAAGGCGACGAUCGGUAGCUGGUCUGAGAGGAUGAUCAGCCACACUGGAACUGAGACACGGUCCAGACUCCUACGGGAGGCAGCAGUGGGGAAUAUUGGACAAUGGGCGCAAGCCUGAUCCAGCCCAUGCCGCGUGGGUGAG
Molecule: ribosomal RNA, 386 nt
Filed under: uncultured bacterium
Lineage: Bacteria
Description: bacterial SSU rRNA
Rfam family: Bacterial small subunit ribosomal RNA
Source: RNAcentral